Molecule: non-coding RNA, 73 nt
Organism: Cricetulus griseus (Chinese hamster)
Lineage: Eukaryota; Metazoa; Chordata; Mammalia; Rodentia; Cricetidae
Source: Rfam
GGAGAGAUGGCUCACAGGUUAAGAGCACUGGCUGCUCUCCCAGAGGAUCUGGGUUCAAUUCCCAGUGCCUACA